UCUGCUUCAACCAAUAUAUCUCUUUCUGCUCGGAUAUGGGCCACCUGUUCUUUCUCCAGCAUAUCUGCUUUUCUUAGUAUCUUCAUUGCAUAAAUAUGACCUGUAUCCUUCUUCUGAACAAGACGUACCUCUCCAAAUGCUCCUCUUCCUAUUACUUUCAAAGAUUCAAAGUCAUCCAAGCCAAGUCUUGUUCUCUUCAGUCGCAGAAACUCUGUUUCUUUGCGAGCAUGCUGGGACCUGCGCAGUUUUUUCUCCUCAUCUGCUAGGCCUUCUUCAUCCAUAGCUACUUCUAGCUUCUUCUGCCUGGUUUCCCUCUCUUCAUGCUGGAUAAUGAGGUUGCUAUAGAAGUUCUCCAGUGUGAGCUUGGCCACUGUCACUCUCUCGCGGGUGUGGUUGCUCAUGGGAAAGGAUGUUGUGGUCCCUGCAGUCAUAGCCAUGGUAACACACACUCCGCGCGCUGCUCGCUCGCCCGCCGACUCCUCACUCGCCGCCCGCCGCCGGCGCUGUGCGGGCACGGCCCCCUCCUCCGCACUAAUGGCAGGAGGAGGAGGGCGGCGGGAGGGCCUCGGCGGAGGGAUGGAUGUUUACUCGGCG
This 594-nucleotide long non-coding RNA is filed under the name Gallus gallus (chicken). Lineage: Eukaryota; Metazoa; Chordata; Aves; Galliformes; Phasianidae. The record is from RNAcentral.